RNAcentral lists this ribosomal RNA (452 nucleotides) under uncultured bacterium. RNAcentral describes it as "bacterial SSU rRNA". It matches the Rfam family "Bacterial small subunit ribosomal RNA", at positions 352 to 793 of the family's 1533-position model. The record is from RNAcentral.
CAGUGGGGAAUAGUUGCACAAUGGGCGCAAGCCUGAUGCAGCCAUGCCGCGUGUAUGAAGAAGGCCUUCGGGUUGUAAAGUACUUUCAGCAGUGAGGAAGGUGGUGCAGUUAAUAGCUGUAUCAUUUCGACGUUAGCUGCAGAAGAAGCACCGGCUAAACUCCGUGCCAGCAGCCGCGGUAAUACGGAGGGUGCGAGCGUUAAUCGGAAUUACUGGGCGUAAAGCGCAUGCAGGUGGUUUGUUAAGUCAGAUGUGAAAGCCCGGGGCUCAACCUCGGAAUUGCAUUUGAAACUGGCAGACUAGAGUACUGUAGAGGGGGUAGAAUUUCAGGUGUAGCGGUGAAAUGCGUAGAGAUCUGAAGGAAUACCGGUGGCGAAGGCGGCCCCCUGGACAGAUACUGACACUCAGACUGCGAAAGCGUGGGGAGCAAACAGGAUUAGAUACCCUGGUAG